This 1524-nucleotide long non-coding RNA is filed under the name Equus caballus (horse). Its description in RNAcentral is "lncRNA (ENSECAG00000044406.1)". Lineage: Eukaryota; Metazoa; Chordata; Mammalia; Perissodactyla; Equidae. The record is from RNAcentral.
GUCUAUUUCACCUUCUGAAGAAACCUCUUUUUCUCUCCUUUGGGUGAUGCUCUGUUGUUAUUCCUAUGGGCACAAUCUGAAUUUUAAUACUUCCACUCAGGAGUUUGGGUGAGGCGACCAUGGGUCAAGAUGUUUUUCUUUUAAAACAACUGGCAAUUCUCUGCCCUUUUGUUCUGUUUGGAUCUGAGCACCCUGUCAUUUCUCUGCGGUCCCCAGUUUUAUUUUUGCUCUGGCAUCACUGGAAAUGAUGGCGUCUCACUUAGUGAUGUUUGCUAUGAAGAUCUCAUGAGCCACUUUAUCCUUCUCCCAGCCAACUGCGGAAGAAACUCAAAUUCCUCUGACAUUGCUGCAUCUGGGCGGAUCCUUGCAGCGGUUGAGGUGCUGGGGUUCUAUUUUGCACACUGGUGAACCAGAAGUGACCCAAAUCAUCUGAAGGUCCUUAAUUCCAUGAAUAAAACUAUAUUCAGAAGGUGAUUAUCGUGUAAAGGAGAGGUGCAUUAUCUUUGGGGAACAAGUGACCAUGGAAACAGUGAGUGCAGGAAAUAGUAGAGCUUUGCAUUUGGGUCCUUCAGGAGGCUUUGCAGUGGAAUCACCCUGCAGCUCGGAAAAGUGGGAGCAACGUGCUGUGAUGCCACCUCUUGGCUAAUGAAUGUGGACUGUGAGGUGACAGAGGGAACCCUGAUCAUCUGACACUGACUCUUGGUACAGAACCACUGUGGAAGUCAUCCAGGAGAAAAGCAAACAACUAGUGUGCUGUAUGGUGAAGAUUUUCUGUGUUUAGUGACCGAACUCUUAUUGCCUUUGGAGAAUGAAAUCCACACUUUUUGCUUUUUGGAGUGGUUGACUUGAAUGAUAAUCAACAUGGGGGAGAGAUGGGAUUACUUUCUAAAUGGAGUAAGGGGUAAGCAAGGGUAAGCAUCUUGGACAAAAUGGCGGCAAGUAUGAAAUGACAAAAGCGCUUGUCUCCAGCAUCUGGCUAAGCAGUCUUUUGCCAAGACCCUCACCUUUGGCCUGGAUAGAGGCUCUCUAGCUGGGUCAGAGCAAAGAGCAGCAUCCUGACCAUUCAUUCCAUGGUCUCCUGGCUGACCAAGGGGGGCCAAUUAGGUCCUAUUGUGAUAGAAGUGGGAGGGAAAGUUUCCUCCAUUCCGAUGACCCUUGGAGUGACUCCAUCAGUCUUAAAGGCCAUAGGGGUGGAGGAUGGGGCGCUAUUCUCUACCUCAUUGGGCCAUAGCCAGCCCUGUGUGAGUAAUUGGUUCUGUUCCUUAGCCUGAGGUCCUUCAGAUCUAUGGGAUUGACACUGCCUUCGUGCCUCCCCCAAACAGAAAUUUGCUCAGUUUGUCAUUUCAGAAGAUGGCUGUUUGGGGAUGGGAGGAAGAAAAAUAAAAUAUAAACACUAGUUAUUGGUCCUAUGUCCGUUUUGUUUUAGAAGUAGCAUUUAUAUUGGUAAAGGGUGGCAAAUGUCAGCCCCGUCACCCACCACCCACUUCCCAGUGCCUGCCUUUUUCUCACUGUGGGGUACAAUGA